Molecule: ribosomal RNA, 470 nt
Filed under: uncultured organism
Description: partial 16S ribosomal RNA
Rfam family: Bacterial small subunit ribosomal RNA
Source: RNAcentral
CACUCCUACGGGAGGCAGCAGUGGGGAAUUUUGGACAAUGGGCGAAAGCCUGAUCCAGCAAUGCCGCGUGAGUGAAGAAGGCCUUCGGGUUGUAAAGCUCUUUUGUCAGGGAAGAAACGGUGAAAGCUAAUAUCUUUUGCUAAUGACGGUACCUGAAGAAUAAGCACCGGCUAACUACGUGCCAGCAGCCGCGGUAAUACGUAGGGUGCAAGCGUUAAUCGGAAUUACUGGGCGUAAAGCGUGCGCAGGCGGUUUUGUAAGUCUGAUGUGAAAUCCCCGGGCUCAACCUGGGAAUUGCAUUGGAGACUGCAAGGCUAGAAUCUGGCAGAGGGGGGUAGAAUUCCACGUGUAGCAGUGAAAUGCGUAGAUAUGUGGAGGAACACCGAUGGCGAAGGCAGCCCCCUGGGUCAAGAUUGACGCUCAUGCACGAAAGCGUGGGGAGCAAACAGGAUUAGAAACCCGGGUAGUCC